Molecule: transfer RNA, 51 nt
Filed under: Akkermansia sp.
Lineage: Bacteria; Pseudomonadati; Verrucomicrobiota; Verrucomicrobiia; Verrucomicrobiales; Akkermansiaceae
Description: tRNA-Ser
Rfam family: tRNA
About the family: Transfer RNA (tRNA) molecules are approximately 80 nucleotides in length.
Source: RNAcentral
AACUGCCUUCUAAGCAGUGGGUCACUGGUUCGAAUCCAGUUGGACGUGCCA